AGCUGGGUAGGUGACUUAACUAUCAGAUCAGGAAGUGGGAUGCCAUGACAAGCAGUGAGAGGAGGAAACAGGUACAAAAUGGCACUAAGUCUGCUGCAGUCCUCGGAAACAUGAAGAGAGACUGGUGGGGAAGGACCCCGUUGCUGGUGUUGGCGCUCAUCGCCUUUCUGGCUGGCAAUGCGCAGUGUCAGACUGAUGAGGAAGAAUCACCUGAUGAAGUGACACCAGAAGCAUUGGAUCAGAUCAACGAAGGAUCAGAUUAUGAUGGUGAUGUGGUCCCGACAAGUAAUGACAUGACCACACCAAGCAGUCUCUCAUCACAGACCACCUUAGUUGAAGGGCAUGGUUCUGGAGACGACAUAACAGAAGAAAGUAUGGAAGAGGAAUCCACCAACAUUUCAUCGGAUGGUCUAAAUCCCAUCAUUAUUUUGGUUCCGGUCAUCUUGGCGGUCGUGAUCAUAAUUUUUAUUGUGGCUGGUAUAAUGAUUUAUCGCAGAUUGAAUGGGAAAAUAAGCGAUUCUGAAAAUGGGAAACAAGAUCCUUAUUUGGAUGAUCACAGUUCUGAGAAAGUUCCAAUGCCUAUGUUUGAGGAGGAUGUGCCCUCUGUACUGGAGUUAGAGAUGGAAGAUCUUGAGCAAUGGAUGAAUAAAGAUGGUACGUCAUUCUUAUAAAACAAAAGGUGGUGCUGGAGUGAACUCUGGGCCAAUGUAAUCAUAUAUACGGGACGAGUGUCACAGACACUGUCAACUCUCUCUCACCCUGCACGCCCCUGCUGCCUGAGACUAAAGGAUGUGGUCCGAGCAGGCUACAGGAAAGGACCCUGUGUCCUUCAAUGCUGUGUGUAGUUGCUUGUUAUCAACUCUAUAAACGUUCAAAGCGUGUUAUGUUACAGUUAUGUUACUACACACCCAGGAAACCACAUUCCCAGGAAAUAACUCCACUGAGACUUCCUAAUGGGAGGACUAUUCUUAAAUUCCAAAUGUGAAAUCCCGGGUAACUCAAUUUGCACAAAUUAUAAGAAUAAGAUUACAGAUUAUGAGAACAAGAUUAUUUGAACAUAAAAUCAGUACCAUUCCCAGUACCAUGCUUAUAGCAAGUGGCAAUAGAUAUUUCACCAGUUGAAUUCUGGUUGCUUCUCCCUUGUAAUAUUAUAUUUAUUCAUUCUUGAGCCUGCAUUGUUCAUUGUUGUUCAUACCCUCUAGUUUGUGAUCAUGCUGAUUGCCUUUUAUUUUCAGUUGUCAUACUUACAAUUUAUGGUGCUUUGACCAUAUGUAAAUUGGUUUCAGGAAAUUGUCAGGAAAAACACAUCAAUAAAAUAGCUUUCUGCCACUA
This is an RNA transcript of Hypomesus transpacificus, 1332 nucleotides long. It is a transcript of the gene named transmembrane protein 154, with no coding region annotated. Lineage: Eukaryota; Metazoa; Chordata; Actinopteri; Osmeriformes; Osmeridae. The transcript has 9 exons. The record is from RefSeq and is a predicted model, not a curated record.